This 289-nucleotide ribosomal RNA is filed under the name uncultured prokaryote. RNAcentral describes it as "partial 16S ribosomal RNA". It matches the Rfam family "Bacterial small subunit ribosomal RNA", at positions 524 to 815 of the family's 1533-position model. The record is from RNAcentral.
UACGUAGGGGGCGAGCGUUACCCGGAAUCACUGGGCGUAAAGGGAGCGUAGGUGGCCUGACAUGUCGACUGUGAAAACCCGGAGCUCAACUCCGGACUUGCAGUUGAAACUGCCAGGCUUGAGGACGGUAGAGGAAGACGGAACUGCCAGUGUAGGGGUAAAAUCCUUAGAUAUUGGCAGGAACGCCGGUGACGAAGGUGGUUUUCUGGGCCGGUUCUGACACUGAUGCUCGAAAGCCAGGGGAGCGAACGGGAUUAGAUACCCGGGUAGUCCCUGAGCGGGCUGGCAA